This 424-nucleotide unclassified non-coding RNA is filed under the name soil metagenome. RNAcentral describes it as "partial contains 5.8S ribosomal RNA, internal transcribed spacer 2, and large subunit ribosomal RNA". The stretch from base 1 to 120 matches the Rfam family "5.8S ribosomal RNA", at positions 35 to 154 of the family's 154-position model. The record is from RNAcentral.
GAUGAAGAACGCAGCGAAAUGCGAUACGUAAUGUGAAUUGCAGAAUUCAGUGAAUCAUCGAAUCUUUGAACGCAUAUUGCGCUCUCUGGUAUUCCGGAGAGCAUGCUUGUUUGAGUAUCAGUAAACACCUCAACUCCCUUUCUUCUUGAAAUGGAGCUGGACUUGAGUGAUCCCAACGCUUUAUUCAUAAAGUGGCGGGUUACUUGAAAUGCAAGUGCAGCUGGACUUUUCUCUGAGCUAUAAGCAUAUCUAUUUAGUCUGCCUCAAAACAGAUUAUUACCUUUGCUGCAGCUAACAUAAAGGAGAUUAGUUCUUGUGCUGACUGAUGCAGGAUUCACAAAGACCGCUUCGGCUGUCUUUGUAAACUCGAUCUCAAAUCAAGUAAGACUACCCGCUGAACUUAAGCAUAUCAAUAAGCGGAGGA